UACAGAGACUCCAAGCGUUAUUCGGAUUCACUGGGCGUAAAGGGUGCGCAGGCGGCCAGGUGUGUCAGAGGUGAAAUACUGCAGCUUAACUGUAGAACUGCCUUUGAAACUACCUGGCUAGAGUAUCGGAGAGGGAAGCGGAAUUCCAGGUGUAGCAGUGAAAUGCGUAGAUAUCUGGAGGAACACCAAAGGCGAAGGCAGCUUCCUGGACGAUUACUGACGCUCAGGCACGAAAGCAUGGGGAGCGAAAGGG
RNAcentral lists this unclassified non-coding RNA (253 nucleotides) under uncultured Verrucomicrobiota bacterium. Its description in RNAcentral is "uncultured Verrucomicrobia bacterium contains 16S-23S intergenic spacer region". It matches the Rfam family "Bacterial small subunit ribosomal RNA", at positions 524 to 776 of the family's 1533-position model. The record is from RNAcentral. Lineage: Bacteria; Pseudomonadati; Verrucomicrobiota.